GGACUACCAGGGUUUCUAAUCCCGUUCGCUACCCUGGCUUUCGCGCCUCAGCGUCAGGAGGGAUCCAGCAGCUCGCUUUCGCCACCGGCGUUCCUUCCGAUAUCUACGCAUUUCACCGCUCCACCGAAAGUUCCAGCUGCCCCUAUCCCGCUCGAGGCACCCAGUCUCAAAGGCACUUCCCCGGUUGGGCCGGGGGAUUUCACCCCUGACUUGGGUGCCCGCCUACGCGCCCUUUAAGCCCAGUGAAUCCGAACAACGUUCGCACGGUUCGUCUUACCGCGGCUGCUGGCAC
Molecule: ribosomal RNA, 292 nt
Filed under: uncultured bacterium
Lineage: Bacteria
Also listed under: 1 other name
Description: partial 16S ribosomal RNA
Source: RNAcentral